Molecule: transfer RNA, 98 nt
Filed under: Veillonellaceae bacterium
Lineage: Bacteria; Bacillati; Bacillota; Negativicutes; Veillonellales; Veillonellaceae
Description: tRNA-Sec
Rfam family: Selenocysteine transfer RNA
Source: RNAcentral
GGGAGCGAAUGGGGCCUGGUGGUCUCCCCGGUCUUCAAAACCGCGUGUGGGGCGGUGACCCCGUCCUGGGUGGGUUCGAUUCCUACACGCUCCCGCCA